Molecule: unclassified non-coding RNA, 497 nt
Filed under: Hevea brasiliensis (rubber tree)
Lineage: Eukaryota; Viridiplantae; Streptophyta; Magnoliopsida; Malpighiales; Euphorbiaceae
Source: RNAcentral
GUCUUUAUACAGCAAGUAAACUUCAUUGCUUAAAAUGGCUCGAUUCUCGUUGGUCUUAUUGGUUCUGGUCUCCGUUUUGAUCGGGUGGGCCAGCUCGCACCAGGAGUCCGGCGGUGAGUGGAGAUGUGAGUCCGACUCGGGAAUCCGAGUGCAAGCCGAGUUCAGGCCUGGACUUGUCACCCUUGAUGGCCAUGCCGACGAUUGGAAGGACAUUGAUGGCUUCGAAUUCUCUCUCCUUCCUGCUCUGGACCCGGAUGAGGAUAAAGAGUAUAAAGGUGGAAAAAUGACCGUUAAGGCCUUGCACGAUGGUAAAGAUGUGUUCUUCUUGUUGCAAGUCGAUGGGGACUAUGCCUACUCGAAAGGCAACAACAUUAAAUGCCCAUCUGUGGCCCUCAUGUUUCCAAUUGGUGACCAUGCUACCUAUCACAAUAUGGGUGGCUGUAAGGAAGGAACUAAUGCUUGCACCAACAAAACUUGCAAAGGCCAUGAAGUUGACA